Molecule: long non-coding RNA, 648 nt
Organism: Thalassophryne amazonica
Lineage: Eukaryota; Metazoa; Chordata; Actinopteri; Batrachoidiformes; Batrachoididae
Exons: 4
Source: RefSeq, a predicted model, not a curated record
AGAAGUUAAUAUCCGCUGACGCUGGGGUUCGCGCUGUGGGAGCGUUUCCUAAACGGAAUUGAGCAAAGCAGCAGGUGGCCUUGGUGCAAGUAAUUUCCCCUAUUUUGGUCGCAUCCUCAUUGUGGGAAAGUCUCAAGAGGUGAAGCUGAGGUGGAGCUGCUGGAUCAAGUUGCUGUGUGCAUCUGCUGCCAAGCUGCACGGGGCCCCGCCCCAUCUGUCAAGACAGCGCAUGGAAUUGACAGAGCAGCAUCUCACAGCUGAUCUGUAUUCCCGUUGAGAGAGUUCACAGCUGUUAGUCAUCUCAUCUCAUCCUGGUUCCUGAUUUAACCUUGGACCUUCCACUGGUUCAAGGCCAGAAUCUUUUGUUGCCUUUGUUUGCUUUGCAACUGUUACAAACUGCUUUGCUACUGCUACACAGCUUCCAACUGCUGACAUCUUCUGCAGUCCAUCUGAAGAACCUCUGUGUUCCUCCGGGUUGGAACCGGGUUGCCACGGGUUUCCAGCUGUGCCAUGCCAUCGCACCCAGCCGCGCCGCAGGCUCACUUCCCUGAUUCCAGUCCCUGUCUUGUGGCCCUAUCAGUCCCGUCUAUCCAGUCCUUGUGGUCCAUCCUCUGUUGUCCUUGUUUAAUAAACUCUUGUUUAAAUCUC